This 168-nucleotide ribosomal RNA is filed under the name Pseudodiaptomus marinus. RNAcentral's name for it is "partial 18S ribosomal RNA". It matches the Rfam family "Eukaryotic small subunit ribosomal RNA", at positions 1662 to 1828 of the family's 1831-position model. Lineage: Eukaryota; Metazoa; Arthropoda; Copepoda; Calanoida; Pseudodiaptomidae. The record is from RNAcentral.
GUACACACCGCCCGUCGCUACUACCGAUUGAGCAUUUUAGUGAGGACCUCGGACUGCACAGAUCUUUGGUUAACGCCGAUGUCUGAGCGGAAAGACGUCCAAACUGUAGUGCUUAGAGGAAGUAAAAGUCGUAACAAGGUUUCCGUAGGUGAACCUGCAGAAGGAUCA